RNAcentral lists this ribosomal RNA (274 nucleotides) under uncultured bacterium. Its description in RNAcentral is "partial 16S ribosomal RNA". It matches the Rfam family "Bacterial small subunit ribosomal RNA", at positions 523 to 796 of the family's 1533-position model. The record is from RNAcentral.
AUACGGAGGGGGCUAGCGUUGCUCGGAAUUACUGGGCGUAAAGCGCGCGUAGGCGGUUUGGUCAGUCGGAUGUGAAAGCCCUGGGCUCAACCCAGGAACUGCAUUCGAUACUGCCUGACUUGAGUAUGGUAGAGGGAAGUGGAAUUUCCGGUGUAGCGGUGAAAUGCGUAGAUAUCGGAAGGAACACCAGUGGCGAAGGCGACUUCCUGGGCCAAUACUGACGCUGAGGUGCGAAAGCGUGGGGAGCAAACAGGAUUAGAAACCCCGGUAGUCC